AGCUUGCUGGGGGGAUUAGUGGCGAACGGGUGAGUAACACGUGAGUAACCUGCCCUUAACUCUGGGAUAAGCCUGGGAAACUGGGUCUAAUACCGGAUAUGACUCCUCAUCGCAUGGUGGGGGGUGGAAAGCUUUUUGUGGUUUUGGAUGGACUCGCGGCCUAUCAGCUUGUUGGUGAGGUAAUGGCUCACCAAGGCGACGACGGGUAGCCGGCCUGAGAGGGUGACCGGCCACACUGGGACUGAGACACGGCCCAGACUCCUACGGGAGGCAGCAGUGGGGAAUAUUGCACAAUGGGCGCAAGCCUGAUGCAGCGACGCCGCGUGAGGGAUGACGGCCUUCGGGUUGUAAACCUCUUUCAGUAGGGAAGAAGCGAAAGUGACGGUACCUGCAGAAGAAGCGCCGGCUAACUACGUGCCAGCAGCCGCGGUAAUACGUAGGGCGCAAGCGUUAUCCGGAAUUAUUGGGCGUAAAGAGCUCGUAGGCGGUUUGUCGCGUCUGCCGUGAAAGUCCGGGGCUCAACUCCGGAUCUGCGGUGGGUACGGGCAGACUAGAGUGAUGUAGGGGAGACUGGAAUUCCUGGUGUAGCGGUGAAAUGCGCAGAUAUCAGGAGGAACACCGAUGGCGAAGGCAGGUCUCUGGGCAUUAACUGACGCUGAGGAGCGAAAGCAUGGGGAGCGAACAGGAUUAGAUACCCUGGUAGUCCAUGCCGUAAACGUUGGGCACUAGGUGUGGGGGACAUUCCACGUUUUCCGCGCCGUAGCUAACGCAUUAAGUGCCCCGCCUGGGGAGUACGGCCGCAAGGCUAAA
This 810-nucleotide ribosomal RNA is filed under the name Arthrobacter oryzae. Its description in RNAcentral is "bacterial SSU rRNA". It matches the Rfam family "Bacterial small subunit ribosomal RNA", at positions 77 to 898 of the family's 1533-position model. Lineage: Bacteria; Bacillati; Actinomycetota; Actinomycetes; Micrococcales; Micrococcaceae. The record is from RNAcentral.